Molecule: ribosomal RNA, 460 nt
Filed under: uncultured bacterium
Lineage: Bacteria
Description: partial 16S ribosomal RNA
Rfam family: Bacterial small subunit ribosomal RNA
Source: RNAcentral
CCUACGGGAGGCAGCAGUGAGGAAUAUUGGUCAAUGGACGAGAGUCUGAACCAGCCAAGUAGCGUGAAGGAUGACUGCCCUAUGGGUUGUAAACUUCUUUUAUAUGGGAAUAAAACGUUCCACGUGUGGGAUUUUGUAUGUACCAUAUGAAUAAGGAUCGGCUAACUCCGUGCCAGCAGCCGCGGUAAUACGGAGGAUCCGAGCGUUAUCCGGAUUUAUUGGGUUUAAAGGGAGCGUAGGUGGAUUGUUAAGUCAGUUGUGAAAGUUUGCGGCUCAACCGUAAGAUUGCAGUUGAAACUGGCAGUCUUGAGUACAGUAGAGGUAGGCGGAAUUCGUGGUGUAGCGGUGAAAUGCUUAGAUAUCACGAAGAACUCCGAUUGCGAAGGCAGUUCACUGGACUGCAACUGACACUGAGGCUCGAAAGUGUGGGUAUCAAACAGGAUUAGAUACCCGAGUAGUC